This 440-nucleotide ribosomal RNA is filed under the name uncultured bacterium. RNAcentral describes it as "partial 16S ribosomal RNA". It matches the Rfam family "Bacterial small subunit ribosomal RNA", at positions 338 to 795 of the family's 1533-position model. The record is from RNAcentral.
CCUACGGGAGGCAGCAGUGGGGAAUAUUGCACAAUGGGGGAAACCCUGAUGCAGCGACGCCGCGUGAGUGAAGAAGUAAUUCGUUACGUAAAGCUCUAUCAGCAGGGAAGAAAGUGACGGUACCUGAGUAAUAAACACCGGCUAAAUACGUUCCAUAAACCGCGGUAAUACGUAGGGGGCAAGCGUUAGCCUGAUUUGCUGGGUGUAAGGGAGGCGUGGACGGUUCGGCAAGUCUGGAGGGAAAUGCCGCAGAUGAACUGCGGAUCUGCUUUGGAAACUGGCGAACUAGAGUGCGUGAGGGGUAAGCGGAAUUCCUAGUGUAGCGGUGAAAUGCGUAGAUAUUAGGAGGAACACCGGUGGCGAAGGCGGCUUACUGGACCGUAACUGACGUUGAGGCUCGAAAGCGUGGGGAGCAAACAGGAUUAGAUACCCUAGUAGUC